AGUGGCGGACGGGUGAGUAACGCGUAAGAAUCUAACUUCAGGACGGGGACAACAGUGGGAAACGACUGCUAAUACCCGAUGUGCCGCAAGGUGAAACCUAAUUGGCCUGGAGAAGAGCUUGCGUCUGAUUAGCUAGUUGGUGGGGUAAAGGCCUACCAAGGCGACGAUCAGUAGCUGGUCUGAGAGGAUGAGCAGCCACACUGGGACUGAGACACGGCCCAGACUCCUACGGGAGGCAGCAGUGGGGAAUUUUCCGCAAUGGGCGAAAGCCUGACGGAGCAACGCCGCGUGAGGGAGGAAGGUCUUUGGAUUGUAAACCUCUUUUCUCAAGGAAGAAGUUCUGACGGUACUUGAGGAAUCAGCCUCGGCUAACUCCGUGCCAGCAGCCGCGGUAAUACGGGGGAGGCAAGCGUUAUCCGGAAUUAUUGGGCGUAAAGCGUCCGCAGGUGGUCAGCCGAGUCUGCCGUCAAAUCAGGUUGCUUAACGACCUAAAGGCGGUGGAAACUGGCAGACUAGAGAGCAGUAGGGGUAGCAGGAAUUCCCAGUGUAGCGGUGAAAUGCGUAGAGAUUGGGAAGAACAUCGGUGGCGAAAGCGUGCUACUGGGCUGUAUCUGACACUCAGGGACGAAAGCUAGGGGAGCGAAAGGGAUUAGAUACCCCUGUAGUCCUAGCCGUAAACGAUGAAUACUAGGCGUGGCUU
RNAcentral lists this ribosomal RNA (700 nucleotides) under uncultured bacterium. RNAcentral's name for it is "bacterial SSU rRNA". It matches the Rfam family "Bacterial small subunit ribosomal RNA", at positions 94 to 828 of the family's 1533-position model. The record is from RNAcentral.